This 430-nucleotide ribosomal RNA is filed under the name Bacteroidota bacterium. Its description in RNAcentral is "Bacteroidetes bacterium partial 16S ribosomal RNA". It matches the Rfam family "Bacterial small subunit ribosomal RNA", at positions 355 to 776 of the family's 1533-position model. The record is from RNAcentral. Lineage: Bacteria; Pseudomonadati; Bacteroidota.
UAGGGAAUCUUCGGCAAUGGGGGGAACCCUGACCGAGCAACGCCGCGUGAGUGAAGAAGGUUUUCGGAUCGUAAAGCUCUGUUGUUAAGGAAGAACGAGUGUGAGAAUGGAAAGUUCAUGCUGUGACGGUACUUAACCAGAAAGCCACGGCUAACUACGUGCCAGCAGCCGCGGUAAUACGUAGGUGGCAAGCGUUGUCCGGAUUUAUUGGGCGUAAAGCGAGCGCAGGCGGUCAAUUAAGUCUGAUGUGAAAGCCCCCGGCUCAACCGGGGAGGGUCAUUGGAAACUGGUUGACUUGAGUGCAGAAGAGGAGAGUGGAAUUCCAUGUGUAGCGGUGAAAUGCGUAGAUAUAUGGAGGAACACCAGUGGCGAAGGCGACUCUCUGGUCUGUCACUGACGCUGAGGCUCGAAAGCGUGGGUAGCAAACAGG